AUUGGACGCUGGCGGAAUGCUUUACACAUGCAAGUCGAGCGGGGUGAUGGUGCUUGCACUAUCACUUAGCGGCGGACGGGUGAGUAAUGCUUAGGAAUCUGCCUAUUAGUGGGGGACAACAUCUCGAAAGGGAUGCUAAUACCGCAUACGUCCUACGGGAGAAAGCAGGGGAUCACUUGUGACCUUGCGCUAAUAGAUGAGCCUAAGUCGGAUUAGCUAGUUGGUGGGGUAAAGGCCUACCAAGGCGACGAUCUGUAGCGGGUCUGAGAGGACGACCAGCCACACUGGAACUGAGAAACGGCCCAGACUCCUACGGGAGGCAGCAGUGGGGAAUAUUGGACAAUGGGGGGAACCCUGAUCCAGCCAUGCCGCGUGUGUGAAGAAGGCCUUAUGGUUGUAAAGCACUUUAAGCGAGGAGGAGGCUCUUUUGGUUAAUACCCAAGAUGAGUGGACGUUACUCGCAGAAUAAGCACCGGCUAACUCUGUGCCAGCCGCCGCGGUAA
Molecule: ribosomal RNA, 503 nt
Filed under: uncultured bacterium
Lineage: Bacteria
Description: partial 16S ribosomal RNA
Rfam family: Bacterial small subunit ribosomal RNA
Source: RNAcentral